Molecule: long non-coding RNA, 1968 nt
Filed under: Setaria italica (foxtail millet)
Lineage: Eukaryota; Viridiplantae; Streptophyta; Magnoliopsida; Poales; Poaceae
Description: long non-coding RNA (SITA_LNC001338)
Source: RNAcentral
GGACAUCGCAUCCCUGAAACUGCCGUUGGGAGCACGGGGCGCGAGAGCAAGCGAUGCGCCCUCCUGUGUCGUUCGGCGCAGCUCAUGAGUACCCUGUGGCGAAUCAGAAGGAGCCGCGGCCACUGCAGCUCGCACCGCACAACCGCGCACCGGCAUUCGGGACCGGUUACAUUGGGGACGCCGCUCCCUUUUGGCUUGACAGGGCCGCGGCGCAUUUAUGGCGAGGUUGAUAGGGGGACCCACGAGAUCAUCAUCCUGAUCCUCCAGUCCGCGCCCGAGGCGAAUAUUUGUCUUGUGGACCCGAGCGAGUCCGACCCCACGCCCAGGGUCGGGUGAGGCGGAGUUUCUGAGGUGGGGGUCGGGCGCUCCCGACCCCGGUCCCCUGGGUCGGGCGAGGCGAAGUUUAGUCUUCAAGGGGUCGGGAGCGUCCGACCACGGGACCCCGGGUCGGGCGAGGCGGAGUUUAGUCUUCUAGGGGUUGGGAGCGUCCGACCCCGGGACUCCGGGUCGGGCGAGGCGGAAUUUAGUCUUCGAGGGGUCGGGCGCUCCCGACCCUGAGACCGCGGUCGGGCGAGGCAGAGUCCCGCCAUCGAGGGGUCGGGAUUGUUCGACCCCGGGGCCCUGGGUCGGGCGAGACGGAGUGGGAUGUUCUCUGCCUCUACUGGGUCGGCGGUAAUCAUAAUUACCGCAGGUGGGCCUGGGCCUUCAUGACUGUUGCUUUAAGCGGCAUUAGGAGGUCGUUAAUAUUUCCCCCCAACAAGUGGAUCUGGGACAGAAUCAUAGGCUGACAGCUAGUCAACUAAACAAGAAAAUUGCUCUAUGUACUCAGCCACAGACCCUGUUUGCUUAACGUGAAACAAUUGACGAAGCAACAAUUGAUAAUGAUCCUUCCCGAAUCGCUCAUGAAGCAAGAAACAAAACAAAGACCACUGGAGAACAGGAAAUUUGCAUUGGAACCAGCAAGCUACAGAUGGGACUAAAUGCAUCGAUGCGACCUUAAUCUAAGCAUCCGAUUCGACAUGAAACAUAUCAAAAUAAACCUCGCAGUGCGAAAUCCACAGUCUAGGGUUAUACCCAUCAAACGUGGGGAAGGAAAUCUUAGGUAAUUUGCCCACAAUUCGAGGACCCUGAUCUCUAGAAUGUGUUCGCGCCGCUGAAGACUCAAACAAGGGACCAUGAAACUUAAGCUGAGGAGUAAGAGGAGGGAGAUCGGUCGUACCCUUGACUAGGCCAGGGAACGAGGUCACCAUGGACCUGAAUCCCUACUCCCGGUGUCAAAAUUCUUCACGGUGCCGACUGGGGCCGUCGGUGGUGAACCCGACAGGUGGGCGCGCGGACGCCGACUCGGGUUUGCCCAGCAACCCCGGAUCUACGGCUGCGGUCUCCAACACGGAUUGAUCCCAGUGCUUGUUCAGGCACGUCAGCUCGAGCUUGAUGCCGUCCAUGGCCGCCUCAACAGAAGGGCGCUAAGCAGCGAGAUCUUUCUGGCCUUGCUCUAGCGAAUCAAGGCGUUCCUCCUUGGCUUGAACAAGAUCGUCAAAUUUCUUCUCCCACUUCACAUCCAACGCCGCAAACCGCUUCUCCAUCUCAUCCAAAAUCAGCUUCGUGUUGGGAUCCAUGGCGCCAAGGUGACGCUGGCGGCGGGUGAAGUGCUCGUGAUCUAGAAUCAGCUCCAGCACGACUACGGAGCCACCGCAGGAAUCGGUGUCUCUGAUACCAGAUGUUAGCAGCACGGUAGCGGGAUAUGCGAGGGUAGGGAAAGAGAAUCGGAACAGAGGAGGAAGAACUAGAAAGGCAGCACGAGAACGUUUCAAUAGAGUUCAGAAGUUUGUUACAAGAUUCUUUUCCCAUUCACCACACGUCCCCUCAUCUCUUAAACGCACGCACACAACUCACGCACGACGCCGCUAGACCCAUUCUGGGCUGACCACACGCGAGUUCACCCUCCUGGGCUUGCUGGUCCUUCUC